AAUUAAUCUUAAGACCACUCUCUCAAAUAAGAGAUCGAUUGUAGUACUUUAGGGUCGAAUUCCACAAAGUUCUCAGAUCACACAAUAGACUAAGGUUUCGAAUUAAGCUAAACAAAUAGAUU
RNAcentral lists this small RNA (122 nucleotides) under Arabidopsis thaliana (thale cress). Its description in RNAcentral is "ATSL165540". Lineage: Eukaryota; Viridiplantae; Streptophyta; Magnoliopsida; Brassicales; Brassicaceae. The record is from RNAcentral.